AUGCAGAUGCCGUCCUCCGCGCUGUACGGGGAGGCGGACACCGGGAAGCGCCAGACGGUGUGGAUGAGCCACGGCGACGAGGUGGUCAAGCUCCCGCAGGGGUUUGAGGUGGUUGCACGCAGCGUUACACAUUCGCCCCAAGGAAUGGAAACACUUCGUCUCUUUCUCUUUGAUGUAUGUGGAAUCAAAGCUGAUUGGAAGAUGCAAGAUGUGCUGGAUGAAGAAAUCAAGACCAUCCAAACCAUGGUUGGCCCUGAUGAGCAUGUUGUCUGUGCUUUGUCAGGUGGAGUCGAUUCAACUGUUGCUGCCACUCUUGUUCACAAGGCAAUCGGAGAUAGGCUUCAUUGUGUUUUUGUUGACAAUGGUCUCUUAAGUACAUGUGUUGAUGCCUCAGAGCAAUUUCUCAGCAAGUUGAAGGGUGUCGAAGACCCAGAGCAGAAAAGAAAGAUUAUUGGCAGGGAAUUCAUAGCUGUUUUUGAUGAUUUUGGUCACAAGCUGGAACAGAAGAUUGGGAAAAGGCCUGAGUUUUUAGUUCAAGGGACAUUGUACCCUGAUGUAAUUGAAUCAUGCCCACCUCCUGGGAGUGGAAGGACACAUUCCCAUACCAUCAAAGCCAUCACAAUGUUGGUGGACUUCAAAAGAUAUGAAGUGCGGAAGUUGGGGAGUAUUUUGAAUGUCCCAGAUUCAUUUUUAAAGCGACACCCAUUUCCUGGGCCUGGUCUUGCUGUACGUGUCCUAGGUGAUGUUACACGCUUUGGACACUCUUCGUCAGCUUUUGCUGUGUUCUUACCAGUACAGACAGUUGGGGUUCAGGGUGACCAGCGAACCCACUCCAAUGCUGUUGUCUUAAGGGCAAUCACCAGUGAGGAUGGCAUGACUGCAGAUUGGUACUAUUUUGGCCAUGAAUUCCUAGUAGAUGUGGUCAACAAGAUCUGCAACAACGUGCGUGGCAUCAACCGUGUUUGCCAGGACAUCACAUCAUAG
Molecule: ribosomal RNA, 984 nt
Filed under: Triticum aestivum (bread wheat)
Lineage: Eukaryota; Viridiplantae; Streptophyta; Magnoliopsida; Poales; Poaceae
Description: partial small subunit ribosomal RNA
Source: RNAcentral